This 468-nucleotide ribosomal RNA is filed under the name uncultured bacterium. RNAcentral's name for it is "partial 16S ribosomal RNA". It matches the Rfam family "Bacterial small subunit ribosomal RNA", at positions 28 to 507 of the family's 1533-position model. The record is from RNAcentral.
GACGAACGCUGGCGGCGUGCUUAACACAUGCAAGUCGAACGGAAAGGCCCUGCUUUUGUGGGGUGCUCGAGUGGCGAACGGGUGAGUAACACGUGAGUAACCUGCCCUUGACUUUGGGAUAACUUCAGGAAACUGGGGCUAAUACCGGAUAGGAGCUCCUGCUGCAUGGUGGGGGUUGGAAAGAUUCGGCGGUUGGGGAUGGACUCGCGGCUUAUCAGCUUGUUGGUGGGGUAGUGGCUUACCAAGGCUUUGACGGGUAGCCGGCCUGAGAGGGUGACCGGCCUCAUUGGGACUGAGAUACGGCCCAGACUCCUACGGGAGGCAGCAGUGGGGAAUAUUGCACAAUGGGCGGAAGCCUGAUGCAGCAGCGCCGCGUGCGGGAUGACGGCCUUCGGGUUGUAAACCGCUUUCGCCUGUGACGAAGCGUGAGUGACGGUAAUGGGUAAAGAAGCACCGGCUAACUACGUG